AGUGAACGCUGGCGGUAGGCCUAACACAUGCAAGUCGAACGGCAGCACAGAGGAGCUUGCUCCUUGGGUGGCGAGUGGCGGACGGGUGAGGAAUACAUCGGAAUCUACUCUGUCGUGGGGGAUAACGUAGGGAAACUUACGCUAAUACCGCAUACGACCUACGGGUGAAAGCAGGGGAUCUUCGGACCUUGCGCGAUUGAAUGAGCCGAUGUCGGAUUAGCUAGUUGGCGGGGUAAAGGCCCACCAAGGCGACGAUCCGUAGCUGGUCUGAGAGGAUGGUCAGCCACACUGGAACUGAGACACGGUCCAGACUCCUACGGGAGGCAGCAGUGGGGAAUAUUGGGCAAUGGGCGCAAGCCUGAUCCAGCCAUACCGCGUGGGUGAAGAAGGCCUUCGGGUUGUAAAGCCCUUUUGUUGGGAAAGAAAUCCAGCUGGCUAAUACCCGGUUGGGAUGACGGUACCCAAAGAAUAAGCACCGGCUAACUUCGUGCCAGCCGCCGCCGUAA
This 506-nucleotide ribosomal RNA is filed under the name uncultured bacterium. Its description in RNAcentral is "partial 16S ribosomal RNA". It matches the Rfam family "Bacterial small subunit ribosomal RNA", at positions 29 to 523 of the family's 1533-position model. The record is from RNAcentral.